This is an RNA transcript of Brachypodium distachyon (stiff brome), 4800 nucleotides long. It is a transcript of the gene named ATPase 5, plasma membrane-type-like, with no coding region annotated. NCBI's taxonomy places the organism in Eukaryota, Viridiplantae, Streptophyta, Magnoliopsida, Poales, Poaceae. The record is from RefSeq and is a predicted model, not a curated record. The transcript has 7 exons.
GAUUGGUUCCGUUCUGUUCGAAUGGGAGCGCAUCCCAUGAAUGCCGCAGAUGCGCCGCGGCGGGGGCGGGUGAUAUGGCGUCGCCGGAGGACAUGGUGGCGGAGCUGGAGACGGCGGCGGCGGAGGUGCUGCGGCGGCUGGGCACGGGGGAGAAUGCGGGAGGGCUCACCGGCGAGGAGGCCGCGCGGCGGCUCCGCGUCCACGGGCCCAACAUAGUCCUCCGCUCACACCACAACUCAUCUCUCACUGCCCAUCCUGUUGAAAGUGAUGGUUUGGUAUUAGUUGACCUGGACAAGCUGCACAAAGAAGGGCCAAUUGAUAUGUAGUUUUGAAAAAAUAGGAGGACAGCAUGCUUCAAAAUUUCGUGAUGACAAUCUUCUCACUCUGGGGAUGGGAUCAUGUCUUCCCUAAGUACAACAACAUGGUCUGUGUCAUACUUAAUUCCAUGUCAUGGGUUACAGUAUUAACUACAGUUGUGUCUCUCGCCAUCGUGUCGGCUGACCAGAGAUCUUACAUGCUGGCCACCGCCAUUUUUUUACUAGCUGCAAGCUUAGUAGCGCGCUUUACUGCAAAGCUUGUUGUGGAGUAUGCUAAGGCUACGCUGGAGGCCAAAGCAUAUGCACCAAGGGCCAAGGUGUUGAGGGAUGGGAGGUGGAUUGAUGUGCAUGCAGCUAAUCUGGUCCCUGGCGAUAUUAUAUUUCUCAAGGUUGGGGCAUUGUCCCUGCUAAUGCUUGUGUCCUCCGGUUUCAAAAGAAGAUUCACUUUAGUAUUCACCGUUUGAGUAGUGCUUCUAUGCUGUCAAAAAAAGUAGAAGCACACCUCUUAAACAACAUUAAGCGUCUGAUCUGCAAGCAUCCAUAACGCCAUCACUAAGAAUGCCACUUUAAGGUUGUGGAAUCUAGCCUUUAGAGCACAAAUCUUACUGUUUUGCUAUCUUGAUUUAUUAGUGCAGAGGACAACUGUGAUAUAGUGAGAAGGUUGGCCAAUUUUGGAUGUCAUUGUGCGAUGGUUGGGUAUGAAUUCUUGAUCAUGAUGCUAUGGGUGAAAGCCAUAUUGGAAUUUCAGUAGCUGAUGCCACUGAUUACACCAAAAGUGAAUCCGAUCUUGUUUUGACUCAGCCUUCCAUGAUACCUAUUUCAUCAGCCAUCCGAAUCAGUAGGGAGAUUUGUAAGAUUAUGAAGGGCUACAUGGAAAGUCAUUCUGAUGUAUUUAUAGGUUGUAUUGCUGGCAUGAUAUUUGGUGUCUAUAUCAUGAUAAACAAAUAAAUGUUGCUUUUGUUGCAGAUCUACACUGUUUCAUCUACUGCCCAUCUCUUAGGUGUUCGUGUCAUUUUCCUUUUAUGGAACUUUGACUUGUCAAGUUUCCUGGCUUUGGUGAUUGCUGCUUUUAAUUGCUGUGAGUUUUGGCUGCAAAAGAACCCACAACCUUAUUUUACAGCAUAUACUGUUUGUGUCCUCCUUUUCGUCUUCAAAUUGUUCUUUGCUUUUUACUUUAUUUUAAGGUUCAUCCUUUGCAAUAUUAUUCGAAAGGAUAGAACUCAGUGAGUCACCAGAUAGAUGGAGAGUUAAGAAAAUCGAGGUGUUGCUUUUGGUAGCUACAUAGUUCUGAGUACAGCCAUUUUUUUUCAGGGCUGCAACAUUUUCAGACUUUCUUUCAGUGAGCUCUUUUUCCCCGGUUAAUCUACAUUAUAUUGGUUUCGAGUUGUAGCUAAUUAUCUAGUACAUGGACAGAAUAAAUUUGAAGGUAAAUCGCUGAUGGGCACUGAUGAAGACAUUAGAGCUGCUUUGUUCCUUCAGAUGAGCAUAGUGAACCAAGCUGUUGCACUGUUUGCUCAUUCUGAUGAUUGCUGCCUUAUCAGAUGUCCUGGACCUUUUGUGGCAUUUACUUUUAUUUUUAUUCAGAUGGUGGCCACCCAUAAAGUCAUAUAUGGUGACUUGGAUUUUGCACUAGUAAGGGUAUUGGUUUGCUCAGGGAAGGAUUGAUAUGGUUGUACAACCUUGUUGUGCUCAUGACCCCUGUUUUUAAGAAGUGGAUUUGCUCUAUUUUAUUUCCUUCAGCCCUCUGUUGCAAUAGGUAUUAAUUAAUCUUUUGCUCUUCGGCAGGUCAUAGAUGGAGGCGUGCAAACAUGACUAGUGAAAAGUUAUUAACAACAUGCAUGCAUUCAGCCAUCCUACAUAUAGCUUUUCUCUGGUUACUGUAUGUAAUACUUGACAUCAGGCUACAGAAGCCAGUAUCUAGUUGAUAGCUUAAAACAUUCUUGUAGCCGGUCAUUUCAGUGUAUCACCUGUAAAUGCCUCAGUAAAUAAAACCCGAUAGCCACAUCUAAUCAAUCCCUCCUGAUUCAGAAAAUGCAAUUCUGAUGUCAUCACUUGUCCAAGCCUGCCUUUUCUUUCAUUUGUAUGCUAGUUAAAUGUUGCAAGAGCUACAGUCGUAUUUACAUAACUUACAUAUCAUAGCGGAAACAAAUAUAAAAUUUUGUCCAAAGAAGAGAAAAUCUCGUCCUGGCUUUUCAUUCCAAAAGAAAAUUUGGGCUUAUUACUAAAGGUAGAAACCAUCUUUUGACUUCUUUUUCUUAAAAUCAUAUUAUGUUUCUGACCUUUUCUAUUUUUGUUACUUGUCAUUUACCAUAAUGUCCGCUAGCUGAAAAGACUACAUCACCCAACAUGGCACCAUACUCAGCAUUGUUUCUCUCUUUGAUUGUUUUGUUAUCUAGACAGUAUAGAAAACACGAGUUGCAAGUUAUCCCCUGUAAAAUCGUAUAUAUGGUGCAUAUUGCGUCCUGUAAAAUGAUUUGACUUGUUUGUCCUCUGAAUUUUCAUUCAGGUAAUUGUGUAAUCUAGGAUUAUGAGACAAUCUUGAAGACUCCUUCAUUGAUACUACUCCAAAAGUCAUGCGUGGCCAAGGUGGCUGGGGAGACUCUCCAAGCCUGCAUUUGCAUAUGCUCAAUUGGUGGCUGCCUCAAUAGUUUUAUGGUGGUGCAGUUGGAAUGUCUGAUGGUGGCAGUUAGCAGGUGAGUUCCCAGCGUCAUUCUUAGAAAUAUUAUUAUGCAAAUAUUUAUACAGUGGCAAAAUGCGUUGUCGGAUGCACGAUGUUAGUGCCGUAAUGCGUGUUUGCAUGCAUCAUCAUCCUUGAAAUGCCAUUUGAAUUUAAAACCAUAACCUAGAUAUUAGUGCAGUGGUGAAUGUGUUGUCAGAUGCACAGGAAGUCCAUUGCAAUUGGAAGGUUGCAUCAUGCUUAAUAGUAUCCCACCAAUUUAAAAAUUUGUUGUCAGAUGGCCAUUGGAGUAGCGAUGUUUGCAUCACCCUGAGAAUUAUAGAAGAGGAGUAGUUAGCAAGAUAUGAAGUUAUAUUGCAGAAACUAUCUGAGGACUGGUUGGCCAUUUCCUGUGGAGAAAGGUCGCUAAUUAAUUAAAUGUACCUAGCCUUUUGUUGACCUUUUCCCUUAGAGUAAUGCCCGGUGAGAAGCAUAUACUCAUGAGAUAUUUUUCUCAUGUAUGUAUUCUGAAUACAGGUAUCAACACUUACGACUAAAUCUCACUAGUUUUCUGUCACCAGCUAUAUACACUAGUUGCUGUUAAAUAUUCUCCAGUAACGGACCUGUGAACAAACUGUUGUUCUUUAUAUUUUAGAAUUAUUGUGUAUUUACCCUUAAUUUGAACUGACCAUUUUCAACCCUGGCAUAACAUAUUAUUCCACUCAUAAUACUAUGAUCGAUUAGCUUGAACUUUGAGGGCUCAUUUGAUUCACAAGUACAUGGGGAACACUGUUAUGAACAAUUAAUUGGACGGGUAUUUGCAUCAUUUGAUAAGAUCUAAACCUUUAAUGAUUGGAAACUAAAAACCUAAUGUCAACUAGUAGUAUUUUUCUUUGUCAAGUGGGAACACCCUCCCGAUUAUUUUUUUAGGAACCGAAAUAUGUAAAUAGUGUGUGAGCUUUAGUGCUUUACUGGUAAAGAUAGAGCAUCUGAUUGCCUGAAAAAGCAUUACUAAGCUCUCUGAAGAAAUGGAGUAUACUUAAUUUCUCUUAAUUAAAAGUACUCGAAGGAGCUAGUACGCCAUGAGGUUAAUAUGCAAGAGUAUGCAUGUAAACCCUCUAGCCGUGAACUCUGCUGUCUCUCAAGACAAACGCGACAUGACUCGUGCGAUUAAUUUAUAUUAUGCAAACAAGUGUUAGAUACUAUGAUUGCCUUUUAUACAAAUUAAUGGAAGUGAGAUCUGCCUCUGGAAAGAGACACUUUGUUAUUCAUAAGAGACAGAGGACCUGAUUCCCUGUGUGUAGGGAGUCAAGCUUCCAAUAUCAUAUAGGUGUAUGUAUGAUUAGGAGCCUAUUAAUUAAUACAUAAGCCCAACGGAGGGGUUGAGAAGCCAACAUGCAAGAACAUUUUUUCUUUCCCAACCAGCUAUACAAGAUAACAUUAAUUAAUUUCCUUACAUCUUGGCAUACGUACAUAUGCAUUCAACCACAUGCCUGCACUGCAUAUACAUACAUGUAGAGUACAUAUAUGUUGUUUGAAGGAAAUUAAUUAAUAUCCAUGCCGAUCCAUGACCUUAGUGCACUGCUUAAUUAAAUUAGCACACCGUGGUAUGAUCUCCACUCCUCCCUUAAUUUCUCGCUCUAAUCUUCGGCCAAGCCUCCUCAAUCGAUAGAUUCAUCACAACAUACAUAUAUAUGUAAAUAAUCUUAGAGCAAGGCCAAUUAAGUUCCAUUGCUACAUAGGUACAAGUUAAGCCAUUAACAACACACAUAGGAAGGAAAUGAACGCAGGAGAAGACAGACGGUGGCCGGCGGUGAGGUGGGUGGC